This 465-nucleotide ribosomal RNA is filed under the name Vreelandella stevensii. Its description in RNAcentral is "partial 16S ribosomal RNA". It matches the Rfam family "Bacterial small subunit ribosomal RNA", at positions 338 to 795 of the family's 1533-position model. Lineage: Bacteria; Pseudomonadati; Pseudomonadota; Gammaproteobacteria; Oceanospirillales; Halomonadaceae. The record is from RNAcentral.
CCUACGUGUGGCAGCAGUGGGGAAUAUUGGACAAUGGGCGAAAGCCUGAUCCAGCCAUGCCGCGUGUGUGAAGAAGGCCUUCGGGUUGUAAAGCACUUUCAGUGGGGAAGAAAGCCUUGGGGCUAAUACCCUCGAGGAAGGACAUCACCCACAGAAGAAGCACCGGCUAACUCCGUGCCAGCAGCCGCGGUAAUACGGAGGGUGCGAGCGUUAAUCGGAAUUACUGGGCGUAAAGCGCGCGUAGGCGGUCUGAUAAGCCGGUUGUGAAAGCCCCGGGCUCAACCUGGGAACGGCAUCCGGAACUGUCAGGCUAGAGUGCAGGAGAGGAAGGUAGAAUUCCCGGUGUAGCGGUGAAAUGCGUAGAGAUCGGGAGGAAUACCAGUGGCGAAGGCGGCCUUCUGGACUGACACUGACGCUGAGGUGCGAAAGCGUGGGUAGCAAACAGGAUUAGAUACCCUUGUAGUC